GGCCUGGCGGAGGAUCCCUGCAUCACGAAUCCCUGGGUCAUUGGAUGGGGUUCCUAGCACGACAGUUAGGGUGUUUGGCCAUCCCAUCACCAGAGUAGGUCAGUUCGGGCUGUCUCUCGACCAUUGCCAACAGUCUAUUGUGGGGGUAUCUUUGUGGAU
Molecule: non-coding RNA, 159 nt
Organism: Peromyscus maniculatus bairdii (prairie deer mouse)
Lineage: Eukaryota; Metazoa; Chordata; Mammalia; Rodentia; Cricetidae
Source: RefSeq, a predicted model, not a curated record